Molecule: unclassified non-coding RNA, 6606 nt
Organism: Bradysia coprophila
Lineage: Eukaryota; Metazoa; Arthropoda; Insecta; Diptera; Sciaridae
Source: RefSeq, a predicted model, not a curated record
UACGUAUUAUUUCGCAAUCAAUUUGAUUUCAGAAAUAAACGAAAGUUAUACCGUCAGUGUAUCUAUAAUGGCGUACAUGGUAAUUCUACCCUUUGCCGAUGGGUUCAGUGCAUGUAGAGAAUAAACUUCGCAACUGAAAUCCUGACAUGAACUCUAUGUUUCAGUACGAGAUCACAAUGGAUGGUAGCAGCCCACCGAGAUCCAGAUGUCCGACGCCGGGCGAUCAAGAAGAAUACGAUGUAACCCGAAUGCGUGAGGAUGACUUUGAACGAUUGGCAGUUUAUAUGGUUCCUGAUGUACCGUGCGAGCGUGGCACGCCAUCGCGGGCGGAUAAAACUUUGCCCAGAAGUUUAACGCUCAAACCGUCACUAGUAUUAUCUACACCAAAUGUAAAGACUGAAGGCGUCUGGAGUACGGGCGUUAUUCCUCGUGGCACCAGAUUCGGGCCAUUCGAAGGUGUAGCUGUGAAAACACCGAAUUGUCCAAGCGAUAAAAUAAAUUGGAGAUAUUUUUGGCGGGUGCAGGGAACAAGACAUAUUACUUAUGGAAACAUAAAGAUUUUCAAAGACAAUGAAUACUAUUACCUUGAUGGUUCUGAUACCACUCAAGCGAAUUGGAUGCGAUACGUUGCAUCCGCAUACAGUCUUCGAGUGAUGAACCUUGUCGCCUGCCAGCAUCAAGAAAAUAUCUAUUUUUAUACAACUAGAGACAUAAUGCCAAAUGAAGAGCUAAUGGUUUGGUAUUGCCGCGAUUUUGCGAAACGUCUUGGCUAUGAUGUUGAUCCGGAACGUGCUACGUACACAAUAUGCAAGGAGGAAGCUAUCAAAAAAUCGUACACUGUAGCACCGACACCGGUUGCACCGGAAGUGGCGUUCACACACAUGAAGUAUGUGAUGGGAUUUGCGUUACCGCGACGAUCUCCGACACCAAGUCCAUCCCCACCGAUUGCUGUUCUUUCGCCAAAUAUUCGACCGACACAUCAAAGUGUUGUGCAUUUUCGUGAGCAGUCGCAAGGGAAUGGCAUGCCGAUGCGAGUAAUUGUUCAGGAUCAAUCGCCACUUCGUGAUGAAUGCAAGGAAAAAGAUUCAACCUCUCCAGUAUUAACGAAAGACGGUCCAUACGAACAUCAAUUGACACCGAACGAUGGAUCGGUUCGAUCGGACGAAGGGUAUCACAGUAAUGAACACUAUGAAGACGGACUGACACCACCGGAAGAUUACAGUGACAGCGAGGACGAAAACAAUUACGUUCUUGACUGUUCGAAAAAGGCGAACAUUCCCAAAGAGACGGUGGUGUCACAGAAAAUCGAAGACAAAAAUGAAUACCGAAAAGUGAAAAUGAAAAUGCCAUUGAAAUACGAGUUUAAAAAUAAAAUAAUUAAACGUGAAUCUGCCGACAAAGAGUCUGUGUCAUCGGAUGAUAACAUUGUAGAAGAGGCGGAAACUCGACGCCGUGCUGCAACGCCAGUCACAAGUACUGUGAUUGUAACGGAAUCAUCAACUUAUACCAUUGUUCCUUUAACCAAACCUUAUUAUGAGGCUGAAACUACGUCCCCUCCAGCGACGUUCCUACGUUACACACCACCUAGUUCAAGCAUUUUAGAAACAAUUUUAACCGGCAAUCGACUCAGUGAAACAAUAAAGCAGAGACAGUCAAAUGCAACACCCCCACCAACAUCACCAACAGAAAUGGCAUAUUCAUAUAAGAAAUCCCAACGAUACGGCAACGCUUGCAGUCCAGACUCUAGUUCGAAUUACGUACCAAACAGCCAAUCUGAACCUACUGGAAUUUCGCCGGCACAAACAAAAAAUGCUGACGAAGAAAUGGAAAAGGAAGCCAUUUCUCAUUCACAAGUAUCUUAUACCACACCAACAGCUACAAUGUCUUCGAUGAGUUACGAAAAUCAAAGAACUCCUCCAUAUUCCACAUAUUUGUUUUCUUCCUCACCUAGCGACAAUGUAUUAACGAAUGUUCCAAGUUCGACCUAUUCUCCACCUCUGAGUAACGGUCACUACGAACGAAUAUCAAACCAUUCGCUAUCGCCACCGAACGGUAUACUUCAACUGCAACAUCAUGCCGGACAAUUACUCGCCCAUCCGAUAAUGACACCACUAACGGCGAUCCCACCUUCACCAACACGUUCGUCGCCACCAUGUUGCUUGAGUCCAGAUAAUGGAUCGUGCACUCGAAGCGGCAGUCCGAUGAGUCCUGGUGGUACGUCGCGUGGAUAUCGAAGUCUACCAUAUCCUUUAAAGAAGAAAGAUGGCAAAAUGCAUUAUGAAUGCAACGUUUGUUGCAAAACGUUCGGACAACUGUCCAAUUUAAAGGUCCAUCUUCGAACACAUUCGGGCGAGAAACCAUUUCAAUGUAACGUAUGCACAAAAUCGUUCACUCAAUUAGCUCAUCUACAGAAACAUCAUCUAGUUCAUACCGGCGAAAAGCCCCAUCAAUGUGAUAUUUGUAAGAAACGUUUCUCAAGCACGUCGAAUCUGAAAACCCAUUUACGACUGCACAGCGGACAGAAACCUUAUGCCUGUGACUUGUGUCCACAAAAAUUCACACAAUUCGUGCACCUGAAACUACACAAGCGACUACACACAAACGAUCGCCCAUACGUCUGUAACGGUUGUGACAAGAAGUAUAUUAGCGCUUCGGGACUACGAACGCACUGGAAGACAACGAGCUGUAAACCGAAUAAUUUGGAAGAGGAGUUGGCAUUGGCGGCUGCUGCAACGUCAGAAAAUUUAUCUGACAAAGACCAUGGCGAAGAAUCGAAAGAAUUCUAUGAAAUGCAUCAAAUGUACAUGCAAUCCCAUUCGCAUCUUCGCAGCAUCGGCAAUUCUCCCACUCGUCUGGUCAGCACAUCCAUGCAAUCGUCAAGUCAUCAUCCCGCCGGCCAGCAACAGCACCACUCAAUCCACCAUCAAUCGCAUCAUCCACAACAAUUGUUAAUAACGCAACACCAGCAACAAUCCCAGCAAUCUUUACCCCCACAACAAAUACAUCGAAAAACACCGCCACCGCCAUCGAAAGGACCAUCAACACAUUUACUAAUGUCCAAUGGUCACAGCACGCAACUGGCCAACGGUCAAUACAAUCAUGUGGCGCAUCACCAGAACCAACACGGUGAGACGCGACCGAGUGUGAUUGAAUCGAAUCAGGCACCAAUUAUCAUCGGUUGCAUAUAAGAAAAUACAUUUCGAGUAAAUUUGUGUUUUUUUUUAUUAAAUUGAAAAUUUGAAUAUUUUUAACACACAUUUUUAACAGCAAACAAAAAAGAGAAUUUGUGACUGAUAUCCUUUUCGACUUUAAUUUUUUUUUAUUGAGAAAAAAAAGAGAACAAGAAAAGAGAGAGAAAAAAAAGAAGAAAUAUUUUACGUGGCUUUAUAUUGAGUAUAUAAGAAAAUCGAAGACUUUUUCUAUGAUAAAAUUAGAGUAAAAAUUGAGGAUUGCUUCAGUGAAUUUUUUAAAAAAAUGAUUGAAAGAGUUUCGUCAUAGUUUUGUUUGUUUGUUUUUCUCGUGUUUUUUUUGAUUGUAAUGGACAAAUGUGGAACUCUUGAAUGAUCUCGUUAAAUAAUAAAUACAUUCAAUGUAACAAACUAACAAAACUGAUUAAUGUGUUACACACAGACAAUAUAAUAUAACAGAAUUGCAUACAUAAAUUCUGGUCGUACAGAGGACGUCGGUGAAAUUUAGACAUGAAUUCGCUUCAGCUAGUUAUCAGCGGUUUACCGGUAUGUGUACCUAUUUCACUCAUUUGAACAAGCAUAGGCACGAACGGACCAGUAGAAAAACAGCUGAAAAAAAUUAAUGUCUAAAUUUCACUGACGUCCCCUGUAACAAAAUUUGGACGUUGAUUGAAUAAUACUUUAAUUUGUUAUAAACUUCAGCUCACAAACUAAAUUAAAAUCAUCAGCGAUAGACCAGACCCAAUUUAUCACAUUCAAAUUGAUAUUAUGAUGAUGAACGAAGAAGAUCUUGUAAAAAAUAGAGAUUAUCAAAAAGCGAUACAAUCGAUCGAAUAUAGCUGUUGUCGACAUACAAACAUUGCAGGCAUAUACAAUCAAGUUCCCGUAACAAACAUUUAUAUGUCGCCAACAGCAAUGUUUUCGUCAGUAAAAUCGGUAAGUCAUUUAAAUGAAAUUGUAAAACCUAAAUGUUCCUUCAUCAAAAAUUAAUGAAGAACCGAUUGAAGUUGUCUCUAUGAUCCCGGAAUGCGUCAUUAAUUCGAACAAAAAAUUGCAAUUUAAUUAACCUUAGACUAACAUUACAGAAAUAUCAAUUUAACAUACAGUGUGUCCUUAUUUACAUCCUUAAUUAAACAUUUUCAGUCAUUUUCAUAGUAAUGAAAGUUUUCACUAUAUACUGAUCCGAUUUACCUGUGUUAUUCAUUAAAAAAAAAUUGAAAUUUGUUAAACAAAAUAUAUUACGAUCCGUUGAAGUCAUACCGGUUGAGCUUAUAUUUAUAGAUCAUUGUCACACUGUCAAACUGAAUUUUUUUGCAGUUGACUUCUUCGAAUAAUUUCUCGGUUAUCCGAAUGAGUUUGGCUUGAUUAUGUAUUCAAACCUCCUUCUCCCCCAAUAACCCAAUUUAAUCAUUGAGAUCAACAUCACACAUCCCGAAUUGUGGCUGUUAAUUGCAGAAAUUUGAUUGAAAAAGAACAAUUUUUGUUAAAUCUUUUCGAAAGGCAUCUAAAUUGGUAGUAUUAUUUUUGUAAAUAUGUAACGAUGAUUGUUCGUUUUUAAUAGUUAAGCCUUUAGAUAAUAACAUAAAAUUUUAGAGUUUAAGAAUUAUACUUUAAUGAACAAAAUAAAAGAAAAUUUGAUAUUAAGAUAGAAACCAAAUACUUCAUUAAAAAUCAUGUGAAUAUACCAAAAAAAGGAAGAGAUAAAAAAAAAUGAAAAUUGAAAAAUAACGAAAAGAACAAACAAAGCAAAUUUAUUAUUACAAAUAUAUUUAACAAUAAUUCAACAUAUUUAUUACAACGUAGAUUUACAGAUAUAUAAAUUGUGUCUAUUUUGGUCUUAUGAUACCCACCAUAAUAUCGUUUUACCGAUGAAACCGAUAGCGUUCAACAAUUUUUACACUUGCUGAUGGAUUUUAUGUCAAGAGCGAAAGAACAUUUAUUAUACAUUGUCUAUGUUGUCCAAAUUCCAGACAACAUAUUCCGAAAUUAACGCACAAUAAUUCUAAAUUUUCAUUUUGAUCCAUAAAAAAACUCCGGUAAAUACACCAAAUAUUUUACAUGCUUCUUGUGUUCUUCCUAGUACCGAAAAAAGCUUAUUACAUCACAACAGAUCACAGGGGCUCAUAGAACUCGCAGCAUAUAAAAUUCAUUAUGUAACACAGUGUAGAAAGUUGAAAAGAUCAAUUUUCUUGUGAUCAUUGACCUCGGCUUCGCCUCGGAUCGACAAAUUUCACACGAAAACUAAACUUUUCAUCAUUUUCCUUCCAAAUGUAAAUGACCGUUUAUCAUCAGAUAUUCUUCCGCUCGAUUAACUAGCAUCAGGACACUCUGUAGUUUAAAAUGAUGUCAGAAGAGAAUCAGGCUUAAAGUUCUUUCAUUUCAAAUCUGGAUUCUCUCUUAAAAGAAGUAACAAAAAGUAAUAAAUCGCAUGCAAGAGAAACGUGGACGCUAUCGAAGAACCGAUAAAGAAUUCAUUGAAGAAAAAACGUCCACUUAAACAUGAGAUAUUAAAAUCAAGGAAAGUCUCGAGAUAAGAUUUUAUUGUGCAAUGAUUGUUUUUGCUGUAAAAGAUACACGCGAGUUACGUUUAUGUCGUAAAUUUCAUCUUUGAGUGCACGUUAUUUUCAAGACGAAUUCUUUAAACGAAAAAAAGAGAACAAAAAAAAACCUUUGAGUCGAAGACAAUUUUGAAAAUAAUUUUUUUUAUUGUAAAUAAAUGAUAAACUUUGCUCAGUUUAUGGGCCAACAUUCAAACCACAUUUUUACAAUUUCUAUAUUAAAACGAAAGAGAAAUUAACUUAGCUCGUGUACCUAUUUACCUAUUUUAACAUUAAAAGAAAAAUGGAUAAAAAACUAUUUGAAAAAUACAAUUUUUUUCAAACAAAAAAUGCUUACAAAAUAACAAAAUUUAACUUAUUUUCGCCCCGGAUUUAAAUAAUUUAUUGAUUUCGAAAUAUUUAAUUUAAACAAAAAACAAAAAUUUAAAUCACAGCAAGCAACAGUAUCCUUAUUAAGAUCCCUGUAAAGAAAUUAAAAUUGUAUAAAAGGCUAUUCACAUUUAUAAUUAGAGAAAUUUGUAAAUUUAUAUAUUUAUAUUUAAGCAUUAAAUACAAACAAGAAAAGGAAACUCAAAAAACAUUUGUUUUUUUUUUUUUUUAAAUAAUAUAAAAUUGCUUUGAAUUUGAAACAAAAAAUAUUUCAAUUUAAAAACAAAAUAUUUAAAAAAAAAUGAAAAUUGUACAUUAUAUCUUAAGAGGAGAAUUAAUACCAAGCUGAAGAUCGGUGCUUAAAUGACCUGUUUAUUAAAAAUACAAAUAAACAAAAUAAUUAAGGAUACAAUCACACUCAACACACACACACCCAUACACACUAUAUAACGUAUAUAAAUUAACUAUUUUACUGUAUAGUGGCCAAAAUU